GACGAGCGCUGGCGGCGUGCUUAACACAUGCAAGUCGAACGGUAAGGCCCUUCGGGGUACACGAGUGGCGAACGGGUGAGUAACACGUGGGUGAUCUGCCCUGCACUUCGGGAUAAGCCUGGGAAACUGGGUCUAAUACCGGAUAGGACUCCUGGCUUCAUGGUUGGGGGUGGAAAGCUUUUGCGGUGUGGGAUGGGCACGCGGCCUAUCAGCUUGUUGGUGGGGUAAUGGCCUACCAAGGCGACGACGGGUAGCCGGCCUGAGAGGGUGACCGGUAACACUGGGACUGGGAUACCGCCCAGACUCCUACGGGAGGCAGCAGUGGGGAAUAUUGCACGAUGGGCGCAAGCCUGAUGCAGCGACGCCGCGUGAGGGAUGACGGCCUUCGGGUUGUAAACCUCUUUCAGCUAUGACGAAGCGCAAGUGACGGUAGUAGCAGAAGAAGGACCGGCCAACUACGUGCCAGCCGCCGCAGUAA
Molecule: ribosomal RNA, 478 nt
Filed under: uncultured bacterium
Lineage: Bacteria
Description: partial 16S ribosomal RNA
Rfam family: Bacterial small subunit ribosomal RNA
Source: RNAcentral